RNAcentral lists this long non-coding RNA (2147 nucleotides) under Homo sapiens (human). RNAcentral describes it as "HSALNT0332854". Lineage: Eukaryota; Metazoa; Chordata; Mammalia; Primates; Hominidae. The record is from RNAcentral.
CCCUAGUAGUCGGUGGCUGGUCGGUGACUGGGACCAGACCGUCGCCUCCUCCCUUUUACAGCUUUAAGUCUGUGACCCGAGGCCUCUCUGUAUAUUCCCGUGGGGUUGGGCCUAGUUGUCCUGGGAGAAACUAGAUGGAUGAGGAGUAUUUCCGAGACAGGUCCCAGGGCCAGCGCAGCCUUUUCUGUUGCAGAACCGCGACUGUUGUUUUGGGAUCCAGGCCGGAGGGUUUGUUGCUUGUGUUCAUUCCAGUUAACCAUUAGUACUCGAGAAGGUGGUACAGAACGCAUCUAUCCCCUUAGAAGAAAAGAAAUUAAAAGCCAAACUAAACUGGGAUAUAUAUUAAUAUAGGAAACUACCACUGAGACAUAGGAAAGUGUAUUAAAAUAUAACUAGUGAGGUGCUAUGUAUAAUUCAGAGGAAGGGGAAAUUAUGCAUGGGCCAGACUACUAACAAAAGGCUCCAAAGCCUGGGAUACGCUGAGGGCCUUUCCAUAACAGAAAAUGAAAAGGAACCUAAAUUUGAGACUAGAUUUGAGGAAAGGCACAGUUGCGCUGGAGUAGAAAGCGUCUGUCUACCGCAGUGGAAACGAUAUGUUAUUGUAUCCCCAGCACCAUACAAAGGACAUACAAGGGCCAAAUACUGUGGGAAUAUUUAUUAAUGAUAUUAAUGAUGAUGCUGUCCGGGCCAAAGGAAAACUUCCGCUUCACCUUCUGAAGUUUCGCUGAAAGUCACUGACAGGAGGCAGUUAAUAGGAGAAAAGACAUAGACAUUGAUUUGACCAUCGUUUUAUGUGACACGGGAGCCUUCAGAAUGAAGACCCAAAGAUAACAAGGGAAAUCGUGUAUUUGUAUGCUUAGGUUCAACAAAGCAUGGACAGCCGUAUAAAAAAAUGACUGGACAAGGCCGGGCGCGGUGGCUCACGCCUGUAAUCUCAGCACUUUGGGAGGCUGAGGCGGGCGGAUCACAAGGUCAGGAGAUCGAGACCAUCCUGGCUAACACAGUGAAACCCCGUCUCUACUAAAAAUACUAAAAAUUAGCCAGGCGUGGUGGCGGGCGCCUGUAGUCCCAGCUACUCAGGAGGCUGAGGCAGGAGAAUGGCGUGAACCCGGGAGGCGGAGCUUGCAGUGAGCCGAGAUUGCGUCACCGCACUCCAGCCUGGGCGACAGAGCGAGACUCCGUCUCAAAAAAAAUGACUGGACAAAAAACACUCUGAUGCAAACAGGCAAGAAACCCAGCAAGGCCUAUCUGGAUUCUCCUUGGCCUGUCUGCAGCAUUCAUUCCUUCUGGGUAUGGAACAGGACCCUCUGGAAUGGGGGCUGUGGCCUACAACAGUUAAACAAGUGAACUAAAGGGCUCCCAAAAUCUCUCCUGCAGCAUUUUCCUUGAGAAGGAGGAAGGUUUGCAUCUCUGUGAGAAGAAACAUCAGAAGCAGUUGAAAGACCAGGAUGUGGGUCCUCUGGGGCUGAGGAGGCAUUCUGAAUCAACUGUGUGUUCUACACCUGUGUUUUAACUGUGACCUGUCACAUGAGGACAAGUGUGGAAUUUCCCACUUUUGUGCCAUAAAUCUCUCUCUGGGAACAGUGUGGAAGAUGGAUUGAAAUGGUGUAAAAUUGAAGAUGUGGACUCCGGUUGGGAGACUACACCCUAGAUAAGAUGAAGAGAACUUGAAGCAAGACAAUAGCAAUGGGAAUAUAAAGGAGAGGAGACAUUUGAGUGAAAUUAAGGAAGCACAAUCUGCAGACUGUUUUCUUUUUUUUAAGAGUCAGGGUCUCCCUAUUUUGCCCAGGCUGGUCUCAAAGUCCUAGGCUCAAGCGACCCACCCACCUCAGCCUUCCAAAAUGCUGGAAUUACAGGGGUGAACUGCCUCACCAUGCCUCAGUCUGCAGAAUUUGAUGACUGAAUGUAUUUGGAGAGAGUCUGUGGCUUGGAUGACUGGGAGCUGUGAUUGGUUGAUUGAUUUUGAGGCGGAGUUUCACUCUUGUUGCCCAGGCUGAAGUGCAGUGGCACAACCUCUGCUCACUGCAACCGCUGCCUUCCAGUUUCAAGCGAUUCUCCUGCCUCAGCCUCCCAAGUAGCUGGGAUUACAGGCGCCUGCCACAACGUCUGGAGACGGAGUUUCUCCAUUUUGGCCAGUUUGGUGUCGA